AUCCUCCGAAAACCCUAGAUAUUUUUCCUUCCUCUUCCUCCUCUCUCUCUCUCCUUUCCAAUAGCAGGAGCAAUGGCUUCUGCAAUCGAAGAAUUGCGUUCCACCUCCUUCUCCUGCGAACUCCUCGCUGUCACCGGCCGCGGGCGACGUGUGUCUCGCCGAUUUGCUUCCAUCGGCCAUCUGUUGCAUCGCCUAGCAUACGCGGCGCGCACACCGAUCUCUUGUUGGUUUCGCUUUCGCCUCCCCGAUUUGCCUCCUAAAGGCCCAGCAUCAAGCUCUCCCGAGUCCUGAGCAGCGGCGGAUGGCAUCGGCGCACACGUCUCUCCAGCGGCUAAGAUCGAUGCAAGGGGUGGCGACCAGCUUGGGGCAGCAACUGCAUCUUGUGAGAAAAUUGGAUUCAGAACAUACCGAUGAUUUUCUUGCAAGUUGUGCAGUUGUUGUCUCAAGCUUGCUGCCUCCCUUUGCCAAAACUAAGAAGUGCAAUAGCAGAAUUAUGCGAUGUAAAUACAUGAAAGUAACAAAUUUCUUGACAACAGAUAUGAUGGCUAUUUACCAUGGAACAUAUUAUGAUGCAUGAUGAUAUUAAACAAAGCAGCUGGAUAAGCCGUUUUAUUGUCAUACAUGUAGGCACUAGUGUUCACUUUUGCAAUAUGGACGCUACGUAGCUACAUAUGUCUUAAAUUCUGUAGUGAGCAAAAUGUAUUUAGGAUGGCGGACGGUUAUGCACAUUUUGGUAGUGCCACAACCACUAUUUAAUGGCAAAUCAGCUCAAAGACAAAUAAAGUCAUAACAGAGUAAGUGAUCACUCAUAGCUGACAUGUUUGUUACUACAUUUGGAUAAUGUUAUUGUUUGAUUUUGCCUUUUCUCUUCUCACUUACGAGGACAGGACUUUGGGGAGCAGUCAAAGGUGCAAACUAGGAGUGGUUGCGGAUCAACACUCUGAUUGGUUCAUACAGAGAAUCCACCUUCGUUCAGAUUGGCAACGGUGAAUGUACAGCCUCGUGGAAAGAUAAAUGGACAAGCAACAAGCCAUUGCACAUUCAGUUCCCUGCUUUGUUCUCACAUACUAAUUGACCGAACAUCUUGGUCGUUGAUUGCUUUCAGAACGGAGAAUGGGUGAUACCUUUGAUGCAUAUUACUCCGGAUCGUGCUGAACAAGAAAGGUGGAAUUGCUGGCCUUCCUGAAUGCAUGCUCUCUUGACUCGCCAACUCCAGAUAGGAGAGGAUGGAAACUGAAUAUUACAGAGUCCUUCUCAGUCAAAAACAUGUAAUAUGAGUUAUGCAACUGGGGGUGGAUUGCACACUUCAGUGCCAACACAAUCUGUAGCUGUGCUGCCCCAUGAAAAGGGAAAUUAUUCGUCUGGCUCAUGAUAAAAAGAAGGAUCAAAGGUUAGGACAGUUUUGUUCAAACAACACUGGAUGAUGAACUCUGCCCCUUUGGGUGCAAAGAAAAGAAUCAGUUGAACACUUAACAUUGUACUGUCGUCGGACCAAACAAAAUCAUGGCGAUGUUCGGUAUUCAGCUGACUGGUGUUAAUGAUCUGGAUAACAUCUACUUGGAAGCAAGAGAGUGAUGUUCAGACAUGAAAAAAAUUUAUGCAUGGGGCCUGGUUAUAACGGCUGUGUACUGAGUGUCAAGAAACAGAAAGGUUUUUGACAAAAUAGUUGACAGUUGCAGUGGUGGCUAGGCAGUGCAUCGAGAUGGUGAAGACAGUGCAUGAAGAUGGUGAAGCUCUAGUCGUUCAGAGCCAAGAAAAAAAGAAAAGGAGGCUGCCACCAAAGUUUCGAUUAUGGAUUGGCAGUCCUGAUGUCUCGGUUGGCUUUUCCUUUCCUGUCUUGUUGCAUGUUACGUUCUUGCUUCUCUCCUCUAUUUCUCUAUUCCCCAACCCUCAUGUACUUCUGUAAUCUGUAAUUUUGGAGCCCUGGUGUCUCACCUUGUUUUAAUGAAAAUCAGGUAAGGACCUCCCCUCC
Molecule: long non-coding RNA, 1972 nt
Organism: Lolium perenne
Lineage: Eukaryota; Viridiplantae; Streptophyta; Magnoliopsida; Poales; Poaceae
Source: RefSeq, a predicted model, not a curated record